AUUUUAAAGAAAACAAAAUCAGAAAGCCAAUUUACAACAUGAAGGACUGUAAUACAAUGAGCGCAAGCAAAUAGGGACUGAAAACGCAAAUAAAUUGAACCCCUAAAACAAAGCGUUUCAGUGCGAAUUGAUUUGCAACGGCGCAUAAAUUCCGGGGACAAAUUAAACGAAUUAAAAAACUUGAACAUGGUCUGAUUGAAUGUUAGCGCAAGAGCGAGGGACUAAUUACGGAAAUCGACCAUUAGGGGGAAAGAAGCGUCGAUCCGGACCAUCCGAAGGGCCAGCGCGUGGAUCCCCCCUUUUUGCUCAAACGGCGCCGUUUUAUCCAUUAUUAAAAACAGAUUUUUUUUUAAACCAUUUUCAGCCUUGUAUUUUAGAAAACCCUAAAACUUUUCCUUUUGAGGUUCUCUCAUUUCCCCUUUUUCGACCGGCGCCACCCUCAUCGGAGAUCAGGCGCGCCUAGGCCACCGACGUUGCGAGUUCGCUGGUAAGUUUCCUCUCUCUCUCUUGUAUUUUUUAAAACUGUUUGAAAAAUAAUGAAAAAGAAAGAAAGUACAAAGGAAAUACGAAUUUCCAGAAAAAAGAAUGAAAAAUCACCUUUCAAACCUUAGGUCCGAUUUUCGAUUUACAAUUGACUUUUUCCUAUUCUCUCCUAUUGUUUUCGUAAAAAAAAAGAUCCUUUUUACACUUGUUUCGAUUCGGUUUUAUAGCCGAUUCUUUUACAACUUGUUUUACAUGUUUAUAGGUUCGUGAUCGAACGUGCCACUGACGUGGCGUGGUGGAGAGGCGCACGACGCGGAGGGACGCGCGACGUGCGGCGCCUAAAGGCUUGCUAUUUGCUGAAACGGCGCAAAAGGGGCUGCUAUGGUUUCCCAUGCCGAAAAUGUUUUGGGUUUGUGGGCCAAUUGGGCCGUUUUUGUAAAUAGGUAUUUAAGGUUUGGGGUAAGGUUUUAUUUCUUUGGGUUUGGGUCUAUUUUUGUUGGGUUUUGGCUUCUAGUAGUUUGGGCCGGGCAAAUUUUGGGCCCUACAAUAACUAUCAUCAAAUAACAACCCAAAGGUCCCAAAUCACCUGGACUGUGCAUGAUUUCUAUCCCUUGGUAGAACUAGGAUGUUCAAACGGUUAGUUCGGUUAAUAUUCGAAUUGAAUUACUUAAAAUGUAAAGAUUUUUAACCAUUAAUUGAAUCAAUUUUUUUUUAAAAUAUAUUAAUUGAACCAAAAUAUUUCGGUUAAUACAGUUAUCUAAUAGAAUUAACUUGAUUUUAUGUCUUUGUACAUUGUUAAUGUUCAUUUUCUUUUAUUUAAUAGUUUAAAAAACUUUAAAUGGAGACGAAAAUAAUAAAUAA
Molecule: long non-coding RNA, 1344 nt
Filed under: Gossypium barbadense (sea-island cotton)
Lineage: Eukaryota; Viridiplantae; Streptophyta; Magnoliopsida; Malvales; Malvaceae
Description: long non-coding RNA (GBAR_LNC004045)
Source: RNAcentral